GACGAACGCUGGCGGCGUGCUUAACACAUGCAAGUCGAACGGAAAGGCCCUGCUUUUGUGGGUUUCUCGAGUGGCGAACGGGUGAGUAACACGUGAGUAACCUGCCCUUGACUUUGUGAUAACUUCAGGAAACUGGGGCUAAUACCGGAUAGAAGCUCCUGCUGCAUGGUGGGGGUUGGAAAGUUUCGGCGGUUGGGGCUGGACUCGCGGCUUAUCAGCUUGUUUGUGUGGUAGUUGCUUACCAAGGCUUUGACGGGUAGCCGGCAUGAGAGGUUGAACGGCGACAUGGGGACUGAGAUACGGAGCAGAAGGCUACGGGAGGCAGCAGUGGGGAACAUGGCGCAGUGGGGGGAAGCCUGAGGCAGCAACGCCGGGUGCGGGAUGACGGCCUUCGGGUUGUAAACCGCUUUCGCCUGUGACGAAGCGUGAGUGACGGUAACGGGUAAAGAAGCACCGGCUAACUACGUG
RNAcentral lists this ribosomal RNA (468 nucleotides) under uncultured bacterium. RNAcentral describes it as "partial 16S ribosomal RNA". It matches the Rfam family "Bacterial small subunit ribosomal RNA", at positions 28 to 507 of the family's 1533-position model. The record is from RNAcentral.